AAAUAGCCGCAGAAUUUUAACUGUGCUAAGGUAGCAUAAUCAUUAGAUUUUUAAUUAAAAUCUAGAAUGAAAGGUUUAACUUUUAUUUACUUUAUUAAAUUCACUUAAUUUAAAUUAUAUUAAAAAUAAAAAUAUUUUUAUAUUCUAAUAGACGACAAGACCCUAUUGAACUUAACUUUAGUUAAGCUGGGGCAGCUAAUUAAAAAUAAUUUUAAUUCAAAUAAUUAUAUAAAUACCUAAUAUUAUUAAAUAAAUAAGUUACCAUAGGGAUAACAGCGUAAUUUUUUAUAAAAGUUCUUAUUAAAUAUAAAGAUUGCGACCUCGAUGUUGAAUUAUUUACCUAAUAGAAGCAAAAUUUAAAAAGGGAGUC
Molecule: ribosomal RNA, 370 nt
Filed under: Mysmenidae sp.
Lineage: Eukaryota; Metazoa; Arthropoda; Arachnida; Araneae; Mysmenidae
Description: partial large subunit ribosomal RNA
Source: RNAcentral